This 329-nucleotide ribosomal RNA is filed under the name uncultured eukaryote. RNAcentral describes it as "partial 18S ribosomal RNA". It matches the Rfam family "Eukaryotic small subunit ribosomal RNA", at positions 1470 to 1796 of the family's 1831-position model. The record is from RNAcentral.
CCCUUAGAUGUUCUGGGCCGCACGCGCGCUACACUGAUGCAUUCAACGAGUCUAAAACCUGGUCUGAGAGGGCUGGGUAAUCUUUUGAAAGUGCAUCGUGAUUGGGAUAGAUGAUUGCAAUUCUUCAUCUUCAACGAGGAAUGCCUAGUAAACGCAAGUCAUCAGCUUGCAUUGAUUACGUCCCUGCCCUUUGUACACACCGCCCGUCGCUCCUACCGAUUGAACGAUCCGAUGAAAACUGUGGAUUGAGAGUCUGAGUGGGUUCGCCUACCUCAACUUUCGAGAAGCGGUUUAAAUCUUAUCGUUUAGAGGAAGGAGAAGUCGUAACA